GUUGCCUGGGAAACAGCUCCAGGGCCUUUGGAACCCCUGCCUACCCUAAGACUCUCCUAAGCCUCAGUUCUACAAUGUUCUAGAUGAUUCCUGAGACCUCUCCAGAGGGUAGUUUCUUCCUGUAAUAUUUUUCAAGGCAACAACCUCCACGUCCCUGAGCUGUGCGAGAGUGGAGCAGAAAGAUCCACCAGGUAUGUGGGUGGAGGAAGCUCAUGGUCUCCUCUGGCCUGGCCUGAUCCUCUGGAGCCACUUGGGAGAGCUCGACAGGAGAUUCAAACAACCAGCCCAUGGCCAAGGACAGGAAGCAAAUGGAGUGCCUGGCAGAGCUCCCUUAGGUCCCUGUAGCCCAUCCAAGAAGCUCUGUCCUUUACCAGGAUGGAGGUCAGAAGAUAACUGGUGAAGCAGGUGGCUCUCAUAUGCUGGUGGCCUCGAGGCGACAGGACACAGGAGGCUGCCUCCACAGGCGGGCGGUGUCCCUCACUGCUCCGAAGGCUGGCAGGCUACUUCUGCUACCUGAAGUCAGAUCUUGCAUAUCAAGAUAGCUUGCCAACCCACACAAUACUCCUCACCUCAGGGGCUCCACCUCCAGCUCUAACCCAAAGUCAAUUGAUUCUUCAGGGGUGUGCAUACAUAUUUGUGCAAUAAAACCAGGGGUUCCUUUGGUUAA
Molecule: long non-coding RNA, 667 nt
Organism: Peromyscus maniculatus bairdii (prairie deer mouse)
Lineage: Eukaryota; Metazoa; Chordata; Mammalia; Rodentia; Cricetidae
Source: RefSeq, a predicted model, not a curated record